CAUGUCCUUUUGAUUAUAAUUUAAGGUCUAAUCUGCUCAAUGAGUGAUUAAAUAGCCGCGGUAUUUUGACCGUGCAAAGGUAGCAUAAUAAAUAGUUUUUUAAUUGGAAACUGGAAUGAAUGAUUGGACGAGAAAAUUACUGUCUCUGAUUUACUUAGUGAAUUUAACUUUUGAGUGAAAAGGCUCAAAUUUUUAUAUAAGACGAGAAGACCCUAUAGAGUUUGAUUUUUUUUUAGUAUGAGUUUAUUUUGGUAUAAAAAUUUUAUUUGUCCUUGAAAAAUUUAAUUGGGGUGAUUUUAAGAUUUGUAAAACUCUUAAUUUUUAUAAUCAUUGAUUUUUGAAUGUUGCAUCUAAAAAUUUUAAGAUAAAAAUAAAUUACCUUAGGGAUAACAGCGUAAUUUUACUUUAAAGUUCAUAUUGAGAGUAAAGUUUGCGACCUCGAUGUUGGAUUAAAAUUAAUUGUUGGCGCAGUAGCUAAAAAAUUGAGUCUGUUCGACUUUUGAAAUUUUACAUGAUCUGAGU
RNAcentral lists this ribosomal RNA (522 nucleotides) under Cardiotarsus sp. NLG. RNAcentral's name for it is "partial 16S ribosomal RNA". It matches the Rfam family "Bacterial large subunit ribosomal RNA", at positions 1816 to 2610 of the family's 2925-position model. The record is from RNAcentral. Lineage: Eukaryota; Metazoa; Arthropoda; Insecta; Coleoptera; Elateridae.